Molecule: non-coding RNA, 136 nt
Organism: Brachypodium distachyon (stiff brome)
Lineage: Eukaryota; Viridiplantae; Streptophyta; Magnoliopsida; Poales; Poaceae
Source: Rfam
AACAUACUCCCUCCGUCCAACAAAAGAUGUCUCAAAUUUGUCAAAAUUUGGAUGUAUCUAGACAUGACUUACUAUAUAGAUGCAUUUUAAUUUAGUUAAAGUUGAGACAUCCUUUGUUGGACGGAGGGAAUACUAG